This 464-nucleotide long non-coding RNA is filed under the name Chinchilla lanigera (long-tailed chinchilla). RNAcentral describes it as "lncRNA (ENSCLAG00000026072.1)". Lineage: Eukaryota; Metazoa; Chordata; Mammalia; Rodentia; Chinchillidae. The record is from RNAcentral.
CGCUCCACUGGGCCUGCCAGUGAUAUCCUGUAGGACACACCAUUUGUGGACGCUUCCAGAGAUGCAGGCUGCAUGGGAACUUUAGCACAAACGCUGUAGCCAAUAACCUGACACCCUGAAAAUCUGUCCAGUGUUCAGAACAGAGCUAUCCAGUUCCAAAGAGUCAACAGGAUUUAUUGCCAAAGAUUCCUCUGCAGAAGUUAGAGGACAUAUCAUUCUCAUGUUUUGCCUUCCUUGGUGAGAGAUUUAAAUAAACACAUAGCUUCAUUCCCAAGCUCACUAGCUGGGGAUUCUUUGAAACUUCAGUUGCACAUCACUCAGAGCAAUGUGACCUCCAGGAAAACUCAGGCUUGGAACUCUUCGAGGAGGGAGCAUCCCCACUUUGACCAUUGUUUUCCUGGCUAGUUUACUGGAAGCCCUUCCUGUGUGUAUCUUUCCUCCAGCCAAAUAAAGACAGAAGUCCC